Molecule: long non-coding RNA, 460 nt
Organism: Paramisgurnus dabryanus
Lineage: Eukaryota; Metazoa; Chordata; Actinopteri; Cypriniformes; Cobitidae
Source: RefSeq, a predicted model, not a curated record
UACGCCAGCAAACGCUUCAGCUUCUCACCUCUGGUCUAUGAGGCAAGAACCCUCCUGGCAGCCCUGGAUUAUAACCACCAUAAAGACCGACCACCACUGCUCAACAAAAAUGGCCAAAAGAUCUUUCGCAGACUGUUCCAGAAGAAAACUGGUAGAUGGACAGUAUAUGCCUUGAAGGUGGCAAAAGACUAUAGUUACAUUCCUGAUCUGCAAGCGGCAAUUGUGCGUACAAGACUCCAGGCUGAUAUGGGGAUGCCAAGACGAAGGCCUCCAAGGCCGGAGGAUCCCCGGACACUGGGCCUCCUUCCAAGGGUCGAAUCUCCAUCAAUUGGCUGCAUUCUUGAGUCACAUGUCAGUAGGGGCAUAGGAGCAAGCUCUACACAACCAGAGUCAAGAGAUGAACACCUCUUAUAAGUGCUCUAAGUUAUGUACAUAACUUUUAAGUAAUGUAAAAUGUGUC